Quercus lobata is the source of this 201-nucleotide long non-coding RNA. RefSeq lists it as uncharacterized. The transcript is spliced from 3 exons. The record is from RefSeq and is a predicted model, not a curated record. Lineage: Eukaryota; Viridiplantae; Streptophyta; Magnoliopsida; Fagales; Fagaceae.
GAAAAAAAAACAGAGUAGCCCAGCAAAAUCAUUACGGUCCUUUCAUUUUUGGAUAAAGAGCUGCAUACUUUUUGAGGGAAAGAGCUACAUAGUUAACUGUGUCAAGUCCAGUAUGGAGUCCACUUUAUUUUCAAGAGCGAGAAGAAAACUGAUUCUAUCACAAAAAUGAAACAGAAAUGUACCUACCAAAUUUACAAAUUC